CGAGUUGACUAGACAAUCGCUGUUUCGCCUUUGUGGUGGAAUGGAGGAAAGUCCGGGCUCCAUAGAGCGGGAUGCCAGGUAACGCCUGGGAGGUGAAAGCCUACGGAAAGUGCAGCAGAGAGUAGACCGCCUUAUCUCUUCUUGUAAGCGAUAAGGUAAGGGUGAAAGGGUGCGGUAAGAGCGCACCGCGCAACUGGUAACAGUUGUGGCAUGGUAAACCCCAUCCGGAGCAAGACCAAAUAGGGAGGCAGUGGUUCGCCACAUCGUGUUGCUCGCACGGCUUCCGGGUAGGUCGCUUGAGAUAUACGGUGACGUAUUAUCCAGAUGAAUGAUUGUCCACGACAGAACCCGGCUUAUCGGUCGACUCACCUU
This 372-nucleotide RNase P RNA is filed under the name Gammaproteobacteria bacterium. RNAcentral's name for it is "RNase P RNA component class A". It matches the Rfam family "Bacterial RNase P class A". From Rfam's summary of the family: Ribonuclease P (RNase P) is a ubiquitous endoribonuclease, found in archaea, bacteria and eukarya as well as chloroplasts and mitochondria. Its best characterised activity is the generation of mature 5'-ends of tRNAs by cleaving the 5'-leader elements of precursor-tRNAs. Cellular RNase Ps are ribonucleoproteins. Lineage: Bacteria; Pseudomonadati; Pseudomonadota; Gammaproteobacteria. The record is from RNAcentral.